GACGAACGCUGGCGGCGUGCUUAACACAUGCAAGUCGAACGGAAAGGCCCUGCUUUUGUGGUGUUCUCGAGUGGCGAACGUGUGAGUAACACGUGAGUAACCUGCCCUUGACUUUGGGAUAACUUCAGGAAACUGGGGCUAAUACCGGAUAGGAGCUCCUGCUGCAUGUGGGUGGUUGGAUAGUUUCGGCGGUUGGGGAUGGACUCGCGGCUUAUCAGCUUGUUGGUGGGGGAGUGGCUUACCAGGGCUUUGACGGGUAGCCGGCCUGGGAGGGUGACCGGCCACAUUGGGACUGAGAUAGGGCCCAGACUCCUACGGGGGGAAGCGGUGGGGAAUAUUGCACAAUGGGCGGAAGCCUGAUGCAGCAACGCCGCGUGCGGGAUGACGGCCUUCGGGUUGUAAACCGCUUUCGCAUGUGACGAAGCGUGAGUGACGGUAAUGGGUAAAGAAGCACCGGCUAACUACGUG
RNAcentral lists this ribosomal RNA (468 nucleotides) under uncultured bacterium. RNAcentral describes it as "partial 16S ribosomal RNA". It matches the Rfam family "Bacterial small subunit ribosomal RNA", at positions 28 to 507 of the family's 1533-position model. The record is from RNAcentral.